RNAcentral lists this transfer RNA (74 nucleotides) under Actinomycetes bacterium. RNAcentral's name for it is "tRNA-Val". It matches the Rfam family "tRNA". From Rfam's summary of the family: Transfer RNA (tRNA) molecules are approximately 80 nucleotides in length. Their secondary structure includes four short double-helical elements and three loops (D, anti-codon, and T loops). Lineage: Bacteria; Bacillati; Actinomycetota; Actinomycetes. The record is from RNAcentral. RNAcentral also lists the same sequence under 2 other names.
GGACCGUUAGCUCAGUUGGCUAGAGCGUUCCCCUGACACGGGAGAGGUCACAAGUUCGAGUCUUGUACGGUCCA